This 85-nucleotide transfer RNA is filed under the name Acidobacteriota bacterium. RNAcentral describes it as "tRNA-Leu". It matches the Rfam family "tRNA". Rfam says of the family: Transfer RNA (tRNA) molecules are approximately 80 nucleotides in length. Their secondary structure includes four short double-helical elements and three loops (D, anti-codon, and T loops). The record is from RNAcentral. Lineage: Bacteria; Pseudomonadati; Acidobacteriota. RNAcentral also lists the same sequence under 1 other name.
GCGAAAGUGGCGGAACCGGCAGACGCGCUGGAUUUAGGAUCCAGUGGGGCAACCCGUGGGGGUUCGAAUCCCCCCUUUCGCACCA